GUAAGCAGAACAAAGUCUCUCCCGUUUAAAAUCCCAGCCCACCACAUCAACACUAAAUCCUCCGCCACCCACCACCACUACAACCACUGGCAUGCUGUUCCGCCUCCUCCCGCGCCGCCAGUCCCCGCCGGCACUGCCUCCUCGGCGUAGAAGGAUUGCGGUGGUUCGGCUGGGAAGCCGGCGGGGGUGGCGCAGCGGCCGGAGGUUCUUCGUGGGCUUCCUCCGGCGGGUGCGGUUGGGGUGUCUGGUGGCGCAGUACCGGAAGGCCUUGAAGCGGGUGAGGGCGCGCUACGCGGCGCUGAUGUGGGAUCUGAUCGAUGGGGCGGCUACGAUCGAAGCCGUCCAUUCCCGGACGCUCACGGAGUCCUACUUCCCGGCUAUCGUGGGGCCGAAGCCGAUCAUCGUCGCCAGCUGCCCUAACUACUAUAAAUUCUGAUAGAGAGAUUAUAAUUUGUCUUCCCGCGCGCGCGAAAGGAUGUUAGUAUAUGUAGUAAUAAAUGGGAAAUGAAAUUUAAUAGGAGAGCAAUAUCCAUUUCUCUCUUCUUCUUCUUCUUUUCUUUUUCUUUUGAUUUUAUGGGUAUUUUCAUGUAAAUAGAUUACGAUAUAUUAGAUAUAGAUGGAUCCGCUUGAUCUUUUACUUAAAUCUCUAAAUGGUGAGGAUUUUUUUUUUUUCGAUUGAAGAGCAUUUUAGUUUGCUGGUUCUGCUUCAGGAUUAUAAAUAGUUCUAGGAAUUACAUCCGCCUCAACUCAUCAUCAUGAUUUGCAAAGCAUGAUAUAGAGGGAUGCUAAUCAGUUGAGAUAACACUAAUUGUUAAACUCAUUAAGUUUUAUUGCAGAUUGUAUUGAAUAUUAUCUAAGAUUUGGAUCUAGUUAAUUUAACUCAUAGUACGACUUGACUUGUAUCAUAUUGGAGAUGAAAGGAGAUACAUGAACAUGUAUUGAUCUUAAUUAAGAAAAGUUUAUGGAACCAAAAGUUUAAAUACAUUAAAUCAAAUAAAAUAUGAGAAAUAUCACAAAUCUCUUCCCGGCUCUUCGUUUCCUAAUGUCUCUCACGAAUCCAAGGUAGAGAAAUUUUUUUGCAUGUUCAGUAUCUCUCUCUCUCAUGCAUGCACGCACACACAAAUACGCAUCAAACUCGCUAAUUUAUAACUUGCAUUAAUUAUCAUCUUUGUAGUUCAUAAUUUUUACCAGAAAAAAUAAGAAUUUUUAUAUGGCUUGCGCUCAGAAAUCUAAUACAUAUAUGAGAUAUUCUUGCUAAAAAAUGAUGGUAGGUUGAUGAUAGAUAUAUGCUAUGUGGAAAAAGAACCAAAACGAUCUUCCAUCUACUAAUUAGAUGCCUAUUUGUUCGUAGUUUAUGGACAACAGUUAAAGUGCAACUAAAUUUGAGAGGAUGGCUUACCAGCAUUAGUGAUUUGUGGACCAAAUGGAG
This 1429-nucleotide long non-coding RNA is filed under the name Phoenix dactylifera (date palm). RNAcentral's name for it is "long non-coding RNA (PDAC_LNC000972)". The record is from RNAcentral. Lineage: Eukaryota; Viridiplantae; Streptophyta; Magnoliopsida; Arecales; Arecaceae.